Molecule: RNA transcript, 1007 nt
Organism: Papaver somniferum (opium poppy)
Lineage: Eukaryota; Viridiplantae; Streptophyta; Magnoliopsida; Ranunculales; Papaveraceae
Exons: 6
Source: RefSeq, a predicted model, not a curated record
GCCACAAUAGAUGCCUUUGGCAACCAAAACCUUUUUUCAGGGUAGAUACUAGAUAGAUACAAGAGAAAAUUUUUAGCUCACCAUCAUACUAGAUCUUUCUUUCCCCCCAAUCAAAAUUGAAACCCAAGAUUUUUCUCUACAUAUCUCUGGAAAAAGUAAUUGCUCUGUUCAAAACCAAGAAAUUUCUGAUGGGUAAUUUUGAUGGUUUAACAGAAGAGAUGAGGAUUUUGCACGAAAAACUUCUUUCAUCAAAAAACCAAAAGAAAUUUGCUUUUGUGGAUCCAGCAGCGCUACAAUCGAAGGCAUCAAAUUCGACAAAACUCACUCUAGAUCUCAUCACCUGGCUUAACAAAGCAAAUGAAGAGUUUCUUGUGUUUCCUUAUCUUAAGAAGCAACAUCAUUGGGUCUUAUUGGUUAUUAAAUUUAGUGCUCAGAAGGCAUGGUGGCUAGAUCCAGCUGGUGGCAAAACCGCAACCUCUAAAUUUGAUAACAUUAUCAAGAGUGUAUCCCUCGACAAGAGAACCACUGUAAUCUGGAUUUUUUAUUAUGAGGUACAUGACAACUUGGGGAAAGACAAAGUAUUGAGCCUGCAUUAAUGAUUCUUGAUCAUUUGCCUUCCCUGUGCUGGCAACUUGGCACGGUUGCUGGUAAAUGCUACAAACGUGAUUUAACGAAUGCAACAUAUGCAAGAGUGAGUGGAAUUUACAGAAACCUCGGGGUUGUCAAGUCUGUCGUUGAGGAAUGCAGGCCAUUUUUAUAAACUUCAACUAUACUAGUCUAAGUUUUUGUAAAUAGUAAUCACAUACUUUAUUGAUCCCCAUCAAGAAAUAAAAGACGAUAUAAACCGGGGAAAGCAUCUUUUCAUGAUUUAUUUCUCUUCGCGAAACUCUUUUUUGGGUUCUAGCUUAUGACCUAAUUUGGAGAUGAUUUCGUGGUCUACAGAAAUACCAACUGAACACUAGAUUUUAAAGCACAUUUCAGUUUUGGUAUGGCUGUUAAAUUUGAAA